AUUGAACGCUGGCGGCAUGCCUUACACAUGCAAGUCGAACGGCAGCACGGGAGCAAUCCUGGUGGCGAGUGGCGAACGGGUGAGUAAAGUAUCGGAACGUGCCCAGUCGUGGGGGAUAACGUAGCGAAAGUUACGCUAAUACCGCAUACGAUCUAUGGAUGAAAGCGGGGGAUCGCAAGACCUCGCGCGAUUGGAGCGGCCGAUAUCAGAUUAGGUAGUUGGUGGGGUAAAGGGUCACCAAGCCGACGAUCUGUAGCUGGUCUGAGAGGAUAACCAGCCACACUGGGACUGAGACACGGCCCAGACUCCUACGGGAGGCAGCAGUGGGGAAUUUUGGACAAUGGGCGAAAGCCUGAUCCAGCCAUGCCGCGUGCAGGAUGAAGGCCUUCGGGUUGUAAACUGCUUUUGUACGGAACGAAAAGGUUUGGGCUAAUAAGCUGAGCUCAUGACGGUACCGUAAGAAUAAGCACCGGCUAACUACGUGCCAGCCGCCGCAGUAA
Molecule: ribosomal RNA, 500 nt
Filed under: uncultured bacterium
Lineage: Bacteria
Description: partial 16S ribosomal RNA
Rfam family: Bacterial small subunit ribosomal RNA
Source: RNAcentral